GCACUGAAUGAAUUAAUUAUUCUUUAUUUAUUUAUAAAUUUAUUGUAAGUACUUUUAAGUCCACCUUAUAGAAAGUUUUAAGUUUUCUAACUGAAAAAAAAAAUUACUGUAACUCGCCUUAUUUCUUAUUUAUUUGCUGCACUUUGAUUUGUAUUAAGCUUUAAAACAAGACUUUAAAUUCACCUUUAGGUGAAUUCACGACAACGGUAUACAAGCUUUUGUAAAUAAGUAUAAUAUUCUUGGUGACUAUCAAUUACAUGGUAAGUUCCCCUAAAUACUACAUUCAGCCGCCAUAAUAUUUAAGUUUGGGCUUGAUGAAAAACAUUAAUUCUUGUUUAAAAUAUAUUUAUCUCCUUAUAAUUGGGUAUCUAAUCCAGGUUUAAUUUUUGGAGGUUGUUAGGAUAUUAAUACAGUUGAUUAACAAAAUAAUAGUAUUUCACUACAUAUUAAAAUUUUGUGUAUUUAAUAUUUAAACAAUUACUAUAAAUUCAUCUAAUAGGUAUGACCGCGGUUGCUGGCACCUAAUAAACCUAGAUUAUAUAGUUAUCUAAAUUUAAAUUUCUUUAAUGGUUUAAAAUCUUUAACUGGAGAAAGUGUUCACAUUCCAUAUUAAGUUAGACUAUAAACUUAUAGCUCCAUCGUAUUAAAGUGGUAGUUCUAAGGGGGUUAUUUACCAUUUUAGA
RNAcentral lists this ribosomal RNA (683 nucleotides) under Montenegrina rugilabris edmundi. RNAcentral's name for it is "partial 12S ribosomal RNA". The record is from RNAcentral. Lineage: Eukaryota; Metazoa; Mollusca; Gastropoda; Stylommatophora; Clausiliidae.